RNAcentral lists this ribosomal RNA (253 nucleotides) under uncultured bacterium. RNAcentral's name for it is "partial 16S ribosomal RNA". It matches the Rfam family "Bacterial small subunit ribosomal RNA", at positions 524 to 776 of the family's 1533-position model. The record is from RNAcentral.
GACAGAGGGUGCAAACGUUGUUCGGAAUUACUGGGCGUAAAGCGUGCGUAGGCGGUUGGCUAAGUCAGAUGUGAAAGCCCUGGGCUCAACCUGGGAAUGGCAUUUGAAACUGGCCGGCUAGAGUGUGAUAGAGGAUGGCGGAAUUCCCGGUGUAGCGGUGAAAUGCGUAGAGAUCGGGAGGAACAUCCGUGGCGAAGGCGGCCAUCUGGAUCAACACUGACGCUGAGGCACGAAAGCGUGGGGAGCAAACAGG